UUGCUGCAGCUGGAAACUCUCUUGAAAUUUUAUGUUUCGGCAUAUCGAAAUCUUACCCUCCAGUGCUUAUCUGAGGGGUGAUUAGUAAUGAUAGGAGGUCCAUUGUUGAAACUACUAUAGAAGGAAAUUCAUUAUCGGUUUUGACUGCCAAGAGCACUUACAGAAGGGACUCACUUAAUCUUUUCAAUCGUACACUGGAGGGUGGAUCAAUAGAUCUGGUGCAAAAUGGAGACAUCAUAGUAAUUGACGGCUGAGGAGAUGGAGGAGCGAAGGAGAAAGUAGACCCCACCUGCAUACAAAGCUAACAGAGGAGCAAUGUGCAAGUUUAUCAAGAACGUGCAGUCGGCUUCAAGGGGUUUUGUAACUGAUGAGUAGCCAAAUACCCAAAUGAGAAAGCAUUUGAUUAAUCUGAAGCAAAAAAAGCUCUUCACUUUUCCAAUGCAUUUCAAGAUUUGGGCUCUUCUCCUUCCCUCCCAGAUAUAGGAGCGGUUAGAGAGUUUUCUAGGAGUUAAGUAUGAUUUGAGAGAUGUAUUUUCAUGGACUCUACUUCGACGGUCCGACCCUAAAGCAGAUCAUGUUACCUUGGAACCCCAAAAGAUUAAAACAAUUCAAAAUUGGCGGUGACUCUCUCUGUUAUGGAGGAAUGUUUUUUGCCUAUCAUUGACCCCAGAAGUAGUGUCAAUUUGAUAUGUCACAUCAUCUAUAGCUGUGGGUAAGAUCUUGUUCGUGCAAGAUAUUUACGUGUGGAUUUUUUUGAUAUGAAUAAUAUACUAUGUAUGUUAUAUCAAAAAUGGGCUUAGGUUUUUUAUCUUAAUCUUUAUUUUAGUAGAUACUUGAAUGGAUGGGUCAAUUGAUGUCAAAGUAGGAGGGAUUGAGUUUGGUCAGGGUCUAUGAAACAAAGUAAAACAGAUGGCAGCAUUUUCUCAAAGUUUGAUAAAGUGUGCUGGAAGUGAUGAUUUAUUGGAUAAGGUAAGAGUAAUACAAGCAGAUACAUUAAGCAUGGUACAUGGCGGUUUACUGCUGGAAGCACUACUUCUGAGUCAAGAUGUGAGGAUCUGCUGCAAUACAUUGGUUGAAAUAUUAACCCCUCUGAAGGAAAGUCAACAAGAGCAAAUGGGAUCUGUUAACCGGAGACGCUUAUUUUUUAGAAAUAGUUUUUUGUUUUUGGCAAAGUGAAGAAUUGCAGUGUGCAGACUUGACAUGGUAGUCAAGCAGUUUGCAGACUUGAUAUGGUGAUCAAGAAGCGCUGGUCUUUUUCUGGUUUUUUUUAUCUUCUGUUUUAUGUAAUUGAAUGUGUUAUGUGAAGUUCUAAUUGUAAUAGAUUUUUUUUAAUGAAAGCUAAUUGUAUUGAUAGUAAGAUCUCGUUCGUUCUUUUGCAAUGAAAGUUAAAGCUACUUGCAGUGGAACAUUAAUGAAGUAUUUGUUGUCAUCU
Long non-coding RNA from Spinacia oleracea (spinach), 1432 nucleotides. RefSeq lists it as uncharacterized. The transcript has 6 exons. NCBI's taxonomy places the organism in Eukaryota, Viridiplantae, Streptophyta, Magnoliopsida, Caryophyllales, Amaranthaceae. The record is from RefSeq and is a predicted model, not a curated record.